This 253-nucleotide ribosomal RNA is filed under the name uncultured bacterium. RNAcentral describes it as "partial 16S ribosomal RNA". It matches the Rfam family "Archaeal small subunit ribosomal RNA", at positions 474 to 727 of the family's 1478-position model. The record is from RNAcentral.
UACCAGCACCCCGAGUGGUCGGGACGUUUAUUGGGCCUAAAGCAUCCGUAGCCGGUUCUACAAGCCUUCCGUUAAAUCCAACUGCUUAACAGGUGGGCUGCGGAAGAUACUAUAGAGCUAGGAGGCGGGAGAGGCAAGCGGUACUCGACGGGUAGGGGUAAAAUCCGUUGAUCCAUUGAAGACCACCAGUGGCGAAGGCGGCUUGCCAGAACGCGCUCGACGGUGAGGGAUGAAAGCUGGGGGAGCAAACCGG